This 533-nucleotide ribosomal RNA is filed under the name Pseudomonas sp. M14. RNAcentral describes it as "bacterial SSU rRNA". It matches the Rfam family "Bacterial small subunit ribosomal RNA", at positions 71 to 600 of the family's 1533-position model. RNAcentral also lists the same sequence under 1 other name. Lineage: Bacteria; Pseudomonadati; Pseudomonadota; Gammaproteobacteria; Pseudomonadales; Pseudomonadaceae. The record is from RNAcentral.
GAGAGAAGCUUGCUUCUCUUGAGAGCGGCGGACGGGUGAGUAAUGCCUAGGAAUCUGCCUGGUAGUGGGGGAUAACGUUCGGAAACGGACGCUAAUACCGCAUACGUCCUACGGGAGAAAGCAGGGGACCUUCGGGCCUUGCGCUAUCAGAUGAGCCUAGGUCGGAUUAGCUAGUUGGUGAGGUAAUGGCUCACCAAGGCGACGAUCCGUAACUGGUCUGAGAGGAUGAUCAGUCACACUGGAACUGAGACACGGUCCAGACUCCUACGGGAGGCAGCAGUGGGGAAUAUUGGACAAUGGGCGAAAGCCUGAUCCAGCCAUGCCGCGUGUGUGAAGAAGGUCUUCGGAUUGUAAAGCACUUUAAGUUGGGAGGAAGGGUUGUAGAUUAAUACUCUGCAAUUUUGACGUUACCGACAGAAUAAGCACCGGCUAACUCUGUGCCAGCAGCCGCGGUAAUACAGAGGGUGCAAGCGUUAAUCGGAAUUACUGGGCGUAAAGCGCGCGUAGGUGGUUCGUUAAGUUGGAUGUGAAAG